Molecule: ribosomal RNA, 770 nt
Filed under: Phytophthora vignae
Lineage: Eukaryota; Oomycota; Peronosporomycetes; Peronosporales; Peronosporaceae
Description: partial 28S ribosomal RNA
Rfam family: Eukaryotic large subunit ribosomal RNA
Source: RNAcentral
CGAGGAAAAGAAACUAACAAGGAUUCCCCUAGUAACGGCGAGUGAAGCGGGAAGAGCUCAAGCUUAAAAUCUCCGUGCAAGUUUUGCGCGGCGAAUUGUAGUCUAUAGAGGCGUGGUCAGCGUGGGCGCUUGGGGCAAGUUCCUUGGAAGAGGACAGCAUGGAGGGUGAUACUCCCGUUCAUCCCUGAGUGGCUCGUGCGUACGACCCGUGUUCUUUGAGUCGCGUUGUUUGGGAAUGCAGCGCAAAGUAGGUGGUAAAUUCCAUCUAAAGCUAAAUAUUGGUGCGAGACCGAUAGCGAACAAGUACCGUGAGGGAAAGAUGAAAAGAACUUUGAAAAGAGAGUUAAAGAGUACCUGAAACUGCUGAAAGGGAACCGAAUCGUUUCCAGUGUCUAUAAUCCGUGGCAUAUUUCAUUGGCGAGUGUGCGCGUGCGUGUGCUGUGGCAGUGGCUUUUUUGGCUGCGCUCGGUGUGUGUGCUGUGUGUGCUUGCUGGUGCCCUGUGCUGCGGUGGGACGUCAAGGUCAGUUCGUAUGCUGCGGGAAAUGGCUGCCGAGGAGGUAGGGCUUACGCUCCGCGUUUGUCUGUUAUAUCUUGGUGGACGAGUCGUCGCGGUUGGGACUGAGGUGCCUACAACGUGCUUUUGAGUGGGUUUGUGUCUCCGUGUGCGCCGUGUGCGGAUAGCUUGCUAUGCGUGUGUGGUUGUGUGUGGAUUGAUGCGGGCUUUAACUUGUCGCCGUUCGGGACGUUGACGAAAUGGAGCGAUCCGACC